Molecule: transfer RNA, 72 nt
Filed under: Ovis aries (sheep)
Lineage: Eukaryota; Metazoa; Chordata; Mammalia; Artiodactyla; Bovidae
Rfam family: tRNA
About the family: Transfer RNA (tRNA) molecules are approximately 80 nucleotides in length. Their secondary structure includes four short double-helical elements and three loops (D, anti-codon, and T loops). Further hydrogen bonds mediate the characteristic L-shaped molecular structure. tRNAs have two regions of fundamental functional importance: the anti-codon, which is responsible for specific mRNA codon recognition, and the 3' end, to which the tRNAs corresponding amino acid is attached (by aminoacyl-tRNA synthetases). tRNAs cope with the degeneracy of the genetic code in two manners: having more than one tRNA (with a specific anti-codon) for a particular amino acid; and 'wobble' base-pairing, i.e. permitting non-standard base-pairing at the 3rd anti-codon position.
Source: Rfam by way of RNAcentral
UCCCUGAUAGCUCAGUCAGUAAAGAAUCUGCCUGCAAUGCAGAAGACCCAGGUUUGCUUCCUGGGUCGGGAA